AUUGAACGCUGGCGGCAGGCCUAACACAUGCAAGUCGAGCGGUAACACAGGGAGCUUGCUCCCGGGUGACGAGCGGCGGACGGGUGAGUAAUGUCUGGGAAACUGCCUGAUGGAGGGGGAUAACUACUGGAAACGGUAGCUAAUACCACAUAACGUCGCAAGACCAAAGAGGGGGACCUUCGGGCCUCUUGCCAUCAGAUGUGCCCAGAUGGGAUUAGCUAGUAGGUGGGGUAACGGCUCACCUAGGCGACGAUCCCUAGCUGGUCUGAGAGGAUGACCAGCCACACUGGAACUGAGACACGGUCCAGACUCCUACGGGAGGCAGCAGUGGGGAAUAUUGCACAAUGGGCGCAAGCCUGAUGCAGCCAUGCCGCGUGUAUGAAGAAGGCCUUCGGGUUGUAAAGUACUUUCAGCGGGGAGGAAGGCGAUAAGGUUAAUACCUUGUCGAUUGACGUUACCCGCAGAAGAAGCACCGGCUAACUCCGUGCCAGCCGCCGCGGUAA
Molecule: ribosomal RNA, 503 nt
Filed under: uncultured bacterium
Lineage: Bacteria
Description: partial 16S ribosomal RNA
Rfam family: Bacterial small subunit ribosomal RNA
Source: RNAcentral